CGCGCUAGGAGGCAAAAAGGUUUUUUUACUGUUUUCCUUUUUUCAUAUUACGAAAGUUAAAGUGUUGAAGAAGUCACUCAAUAGAAUAAACAACAUUUUUAGGGUCAAUAAAUACUUAUAAUUUGUCAGCAAAGUCGGCUUGUUUUAGUGAUUCUUACAGCCGGGUUUUGGAGGCGUGAUGCGGGUGCAGUUUAAUUAGCAUGUUUGAUUUCGUUGGCUAUUGUCACUUUGUUUCGGUCAAGCCACCGCCCAUAAAUAAAGCCGUGUGGUAGUAGCCUAUGUUUGUUUACUGUGUGAGGUUGCUAAAAUGGCGGACGCUCAAUCAGUAGGCACCGUCGGCCAAUUGGGCUGCUAACAAGCCGCUGGGACGACACAACUGAUUGGCCAGCUCUGGAAUUAAAGGACCGUUUGAGCUUAACGAGAGGAGGAACUUGCUGUUUCUCCAUUACCCGACCGCCUCGACCGAGAAAGAGAACCCAGGUACUGGCUGAGUAGGAGGAUGCUGCAGUAACUCAUGUGAAUAAACACAUCUGAAAUGUGUAGCAUUUGUCAAGACUGCGGUGAGGUAGGCCACAUCCAAGGUUGUCUCCCCUGCCGUCAUGCCAACCCCACAGGUUUUUAGGUACCGCAGUCACUGCAGGGCGAAUGACUGAGAGAGGAGCAGUAACAUUGUCCCCUGUAGGGGUGAAUCUUCAGAAGGCCGGGUCCACUUACAUUAUCGCACACUUCUAUAAGCCUUCGCCAGAGCAUGUGGCCUUGUACGGCAGCAACAGUCCUGGGACCCGCUAUGACACCAGGCGUGGACAGAACCUUUAACUAUAACUCAACUGCUCUACAACAUUACGAUGCCUGUACAGCACAAAAGUAUGACUACGACCACUGUUUUGGAGUUAAGCAGAAGAUUUGUGUUUCGUAGCAAGUUUCUACAAGUGUCUUUUGAAAAUGUUAUUAGUGUAACUUGCUACUAGAUAGCUGUAUGACUAUUUUUACUGCAAUGAGGAGUUAAUGAUUUUGUAUACUACAUGAGUCUAUAGCAAGCAAAAUGUAAUUCAAAAUUUCUGACAGUAAACUCAGAUAGUAAAUUGAGCUUGUCAUCACAAUGACAAGGACGGAAGGUCAAAGUUUUCAGUUACCUUGGUAAUUGUGCAAGCUUUUUUAAUGGCCAGUUAGAAAUUCUAUGGCACUUAUAAAGUUCCCUCGAUUCAAAGCAGCGUUUGCAUUUUUAAAGCCUUAUAGUUUAAAAGUAUAAAAAGAAUCACUAACAAGCAACAUAGGUCAGGAAGUUUAUGGUUGUGAAAUCUAUGUCUAGAAUUAUAACUGGAAUAAUAAUUACAAUAAGAACUAUUCUUUUAAAGAACUGUAGUUUGUGCCUUCAGCAAGCAAACUAAUUAAAGGAAACAUAAUGGGAUAAUUAAAAUGGAAACAAUUAAUGGAAACAUAAUGUACUGCAUAUCAGUUGCUUGUCACACUCUGAUUCUGCUCAGUCUGUCCUUGCUUCAUCGGGAAAAUUUAAUAUUCAAGUAGUUAUGCCUCAUUGGGCUUAUAAUGUUUUCCCUCUGAUUUCGUUUGAAACUUUUAAUAAUUUGAGGACACCUUGGGCCUCUUUCACAAAACAUUUUUGAAGUUCCAAUGAGAAACCAAUGUGGGGAUCGUGAAACACGGAAACAUGCACAGAACGUCAAUUUUGUGUACAUCUCAGGUGUAUCGGGUGACGAAUGCCGAUUUUUAAUAAAUUGGCUGGGCGUGCCUGUUCAUGUAAUUAGUACAAUGGAACUUAGAAACUCCCUGUAGUCCCAUAAAAGGCAUGCCGACUUCAGGGUCAUGUGCAAACCUCAGCCAAUCAUCGCUCUCCACAAACAUACCUGGUCCCUAAAGAUUUGCUCCCUCUCCAAGGCACAAUUAGCCACGUAAUUCAGAAGCAGCAAAUACACUUGUUAACGGCUGCGUUUGACUACACACUUGUGGGUCUUGUAAAUAUAGUCACUUUCAUCAAUAAAGGAAAUGUGCUCCCAACAAAGUAUCGCAAAUUAAAACAAAUUAUUUGAAUGUACUAGGUGUUUAGAAAAAAAUUGUCAUAAACUGAAAUAAAAUUAAAAUAAGGCUUCGAAAAAAUGAACUAAACUAGGACUAGAAAAGCUCUUAAAACUAACUAAAACUCAACUGACAAUUUAAAAAUGUUUUUUAAAUAAAUGAAAUAAUUUUAAAAAUGUGUUUUUUCUUUACUCAGAUUUCCUUUGUCUAACAUUACAUUUUGUCCAAAGAUGAAACCAUUUUGUGUGACAAACACGCAAUAAUAUGAAAUCAGGAAGGGGACAAUUUUUUUUUUAACGGCAUGUAUUCUGUUUGAAGAAUAUUAUGUGUUGGCAAACCAAGUUCAAGUCUGAAUAUAUAAUUAGACAUUUUUCAAUUGAAGUAAUUAGAGAGUAUGGAGCUCUGAGCAUCCUCUACUGCACCCAUGAUGAUGGUUGGAAU
Long non-coding RNA from Anguilla rostrata (American eel), 2472 nucleotides. RefSeq lists it as uncharacterized. The transcript has 3 exons. Lineage: Eukaryota; Metazoa; Chordata; Actinopteri; Anguilliformes; Anguillidae. The record is from RefSeq and is a predicted model, not a curated record.